AGUGAACGCUGGCGGUAGGCCUAACACAUGCAAGUCGAACGGCAGCACAGUAAGAGCUUGCUCUUACGGGUGGCGAGUGGCGGACGGGUGAGGAAUACAUCGGAAUCUACUUUUUCGUGGGGGAUAACGUAGGGAAACUUACGCUAAUACCGCAUACGACCUACGGGUGAAAGCAGGGGAUCUUCGGACCUUGCGCGAUUGAAUGAGCCGAUGUCGGAUUAGCUAGUUGGCGGGGUAAAGGCCCACCAAGGCGACGAUCCGUAGCUGGUCUGAGAGGAUGAUCAGCCACACUGGAACUGAGCCACGGUCCAGACUCCUACGGGAGGCAGCAGUGGGGAAUAUUGGACAAUGGGCGCAAGCCUGAUCCAGCCAUACCGCGUGGGUGAAGAAGGCCUUCGGGUUGUAUAGCCCUUUUGUUGUGAAAGAAAAGCAGCAGGUUAAUACCCCGCUGUUCUGACGGUACCCAAAGAAUAAGCACCGGCUAACUUCGUG
This 492-nucleotide ribosomal RNA is filed under the name uncultured bacterium. RNAcentral's name for it is "partial 16S ribosomal RNA". It matches the Rfam family "Bacterial small subunit ribosomal RNA", at positions 29 to 507 of the family's 1533-position model. The record is from RNAcentral.